This 105-nucleotide non-coding RNA is filed under the name Sphingomonadales bacterium. RNAcentral's name for it is "TPP sequence". It matches the Rfam family "TPP riboswitch aptamer (THI element)". From Rfam's summary of the family: Vitamin B(1) in its active form thiamin pyrophosphate (TPP) is an essential coenzyme that is synthesised by coupling of pyrimidine and thiazole moieties in bacteria. The previously detected thiamin-regulatory element, thi box was extended, resulting in a new, highly conserved RNA secondary structure, the THI element, which is widely distributed in eubacteria and also occurs in some archaea. The record is from RNAcentral. Lineage: Bacteria; Pseudomonadati; Pseudomonadota; Alphaproteobacteria; Sphingomonadales.
ACCCCAUCCCCGGGGAGCCGAGCGGCUGAGAGGUGGGUUUGCGCCCCACGACCCGUUGAACCUGAACCGGCUGAUACCGGCGGAGGGAGGGAGCGGCGUUGUCCA